GAGUUUGAUCCUGGCUCAGGAUGAACGCUGGCGGCGUGCUUAACACAUGCAAGUCGAACGGAGUACCCUCGAAGGAGUUUUCGGACAACUGAGAGGACUACUUAGUGGCGGACGGGUGAGUAACGCGUGAGUAACCUGCCUUGGAGUGGGGAAUAACAGCUGGAAACAGCUGCUAAUACCGCAUGAUGCAGUUGGGCCGCAUGGCUCUGACUGCCAAAAGAUUUAUCGCUCUGAGAUGGACUCGCGUCUGAUUAGCUGGUUGGUGGGUAACGGCUCACCAAGGCGACGAUCAGUAGCCGGACUGAGAGGUUGGCCGGCCACAUUGGGACUGAGACACGGCCCAGACUCCUACGGGAGGCAGCAGUGGGAAUAUUGGCAAUGGCGCAAGCCUGA
RNAcentral lists this ribosomal RNA (393 nucleotides) under uncultured microorganism. RNAcentral describes it as "bacterial SSU rRNA". It matches the Rfam family "Bacterial small subunit ribosomal RNA", at positions 9 to 386 of the family's 1533-position model. The record is from RNAcentral.